GAAGCUUGCUUCCUAUGAAAUCGAGUGGCAAACGGGUGAGUAACGCGUAAACAACCUGCCCUUCGGAUGGGGAUAACAGCCGGAAACGGCUGCUAAUACCGAAUACGAUCUUUUCGUCGCAUGACGGAAAGAAGAAAGGAUGGCCUCUAUACAAAGCUAUCGCCGAAGGAGGGGUUUGCGUCUGAUUAGCUGGUUGGAGGGGUAACGGCCCAACAAGGCGAUGAUCAGUAGCCGGUCUGAGAGGAUGAACGGCCACAUUGGGACUGAGACACGGCCCAGACUCCUACGGGAGGCAGCAGUGGGGAAUCUUCCGCAAUGGACGAAAGUCUGACGGAGCAACGCCGCGUGAGUGAAGAAGGUCUUCGGAUUGUAAAGCUCUGUUAUACGGGACGAAAAAGACGGAUGCCAACAGUAUCCGUCCGUGACGGUACCGUAAGAGAAAGCCACGGCUAACUACGUGCCAGCAGCCGCGGUAAUACGUAGGUGGCAAGCGUUGUCCGGAAUUAUUGGGCGUAAAGGGCGCGCAGGCGGUUCGGUAAGUCUGUCUUAAAAGUGCGGGGCUUAACCCCGUGAGGGGACGGAAACUGUCGAACUUGAGUGUCGGAGAGGAAAGCGGAAUUCCUAGUGUAGCGGUGAAAUGCGUAGAUAUUAGGAGGAACACCGGUGACGAAAGCGGCUUUCUGGACGACAACUGACGC
This 698-nucleotide ribosomal RNA is filed under the name uncultured bacterium. RNAcentral describes it as "bacterial SSU rRNA". It matches the Rfam family "Bacterial small subunit ribosomal RNA", at positions 75 to 746 of the family's 1533-position model. The record is from RNAcentral.